UAUAAAUUAGUGUAUGAUGCACAUAAAUUUUUGAUAUUUACAGACAAGUUUAACCCUUGAAUUUAUAA
This 68-nucleotide transfer RNA is filed under the name Atkinsoniella xanthoabdomena. Its description in RNAcentral is "tRNA-Gln". The record is from RNAcentral. Lineage: Eukaryota; Metazoa; Arthropoda; Insecta; Hemiptera; Cicadellidae.